Molecule: ribosomal RNA, 253 nt
Filed under: uncultured bacterium
Lineage: Bacteria
Description: partial 16S ribosomal RNA
Rfam family: Bacterial small subunit ribosomal RNA
Source: RNAcentral
UACGGAGGGUGCAAGCAUUAAUCGGAUUUAUUGGGCGUAAAGGGCGCGUAGGCGGUAGUGUAAGUCAGACGUGAAAUUCCGGGGCUCAACCUCGGAGCUGCAUUUGAAACUACAUUACUAGAGGGUAGGCGGAGAAAACGGAAUUCCACAAGUAGCGGUGAAAUGCGUAGAUAUCUGGAGGAACACCGGUGGCGAAGGCGGCAUCCUGGACCAACACUGACACUGAGGAGCGAAAGCCAGGGGAGCAAACGGG